This is a long non-coding RNA of Lepidothrix coronata (blue-crowned manakin), 2032 nucleotides long. The record is from Ensembl. NCBI's taxonomy places the organism in Eukaryota, Metazoa, Chordata, Aves, Passeriformes, Pipridae.
AUCCCUCUCCCUGAACCUGAAGAACCACUACAGCCUGGACGUCCACCUGCCGUCCACCUCCACCCCCGCCAGCAUCCUGGGCAGCCCCGUGGCCCCCGGCUCGCUGCCCACCCUGGGCCCCAGGGACUCCUACCUCAACCUCGUCAGCCUGGACAGGGGCAGCCACCGCUACGGCAGCAAGGAGGGGGACGAGUGCCUGGCGGUGCUGGAGGGGCAGGACGGGCUCAGCCGGCGCGUGGAGGGCUCCGAGGUCAGUGACUUCGCUCUGCUCAACGGGAGCAGCCGGCAGAAGGUGGAUGACGCAGACAGAGGGGACGAGGACAGGCGCCAGCCGCCCAUUCCCAAGCUCAACCCGCCACCGCCCAUCCUACGCAAAAGGUCAAGCAAGACCUCCCCGAGCCUGGAGGUGGAGGUGAAGCCUGAGAGCGCUGCCAGCCUGAGCCUGCCCAGCGCCAGCAUCUCCAGCCUCACCAGCAUCACUGCCAGCUCCCUCACCCUCUUGGACUCUGAGGCGAGGACUCCCGCACGGAGCACUGCCUCCAGCACAGAGCCCGGCCCUGCUGGGAUGUGCCAACGCAGCCUGGGCAAGGACAGGACUGGAGAGAGCGGGCCAAUGUCCCCCUUGGCCAGCAUCCGUGACCCAGCAGCCAGCGAGGCCCUGGCCAAGGAGUUGGCAGCCCUGGGCAGCCCCACGGACAGCUCCCUGCCCUUCUCCCCUGCGGACGACACCUGCUUGCACAUCAGCUUCUCCGAGGAUGAGCUGGACACUGCCGUGGGGCCCAGCAGGGUCCUCUCUUAGUGGGACUGCAGUGGGUGGCAGCUGGUGGCAGCAGCCCCGGCAGCUCCGUCCACGACCCUAUGCUGGGGUUGGGGGUCCCUGUGCCCAGGCUGUGAGGCAGGUCCCCUUGCUGUCCCCAUCCCACAUAACAGCUCCCACCACCACCUUGGGGCCACUGCACAGGAUGGGACCUGACCAGCCCUGCCCUUGGUCUGCACCAGCUCACACUGCCAUCCACUGUCCUGUCCCUGCUCACACAGCCAGGGAUGCUCCACGGCAGAAAAUCCCUGGGAACUGAAGGGUGGAAGCCCUGGGCAGGGCACAGCACAGGGCUGGGAACACCCACACACGAGGCUGUUCUGGUUCACCAGUUGCUGCCCUUGGUAGCCUGAGCGAGGCCAUGUGGCACAGCCACAGUGUCACUCCCCUGUCCAGCUCCCCAAGGCGGGUCCCAGGCUGCCACCCCACUGCCACCAUGCUGGUUCUCUCCAGAGCAGCCUGUGUCUACCAGUGCCACACUGUGCCCAGCCCAGCUUUGGGGACAGCAGCCCCACCACUGUGCCCCCACACGGUGAAGCCACCACUGCCUCCCUCCACAGGUGCCUUUUCCCACUCUCCAGCACCCACUGCCCACAUAGGCUGGGACCAUCCCCGUGAGGCCACAGAUGGGUGCAGGGCUGGCCCUGGGAGCCUGUGGCAGUGGGGGGUGACCCCCAAGGAAGGGAAAGGGUGCAUCCCAUGUCUUGGGCUCUUGCUGGUGGCUACAGGCAGGAGGCUGCUCCUUGCACUGGUUUAGGGUGUUACAGUGUGGUUUGGGUUUGUUCUGGGAAGUGUGACUGUCCUGGAAGGAGUUAAGGUCUAAGGAAGAGUGUUGGGUGAAGGGCAGGUUUUGGGGAGGGAACAAGGGGAUCCUUAUCCACCUUGGCUGAUUGUGAGAGGGUGUUGGGAAAGUGUUGGAGAGUCGAGUUGGGAAGUGUCAAGCAGAAAUGGAGACUCGGGGCUGCCACGCUGCCUGUCCCUGACACUGCUGCUCCCACAGGGAGAUAGGGGUGACAGGACACCCCAGAGCCGGCCAUGGCAGUGACAGGGCUGGGAGGGGGCUGGUGACGGGGCUGGGGGCUGUAAAGCUGGGCUGGGCUGUCCCGUAGUGCGGUAGUGACAGCCCAGCCCGUCCGUAGGAUGACGUGUCCGUUCACUGCGGUUCCGUAACGGACUUUUAAAGGAAAAAAUAAAGGUGUCGGAUUUGCAGAGCCA